This 252-nucleotide ribosomal RNA is filed under the name uncultured bacterium. RNAcentral describes it as "partial 16S ribosomal RNA". It matches the Rfam family "Bacterial small subunit ribosomal RNA", at positions 524 to 776 of the family's 1533-position model. The record is from RNAcentral.
UACGAAGGGGGCUAGCGUUGCUCGGAAUUACUGGGCGUAAAGCGCACGUAGGCGGUCUUUUAAGUCGGGGGUGAAAUCCUGGAGCUCAACCCCAGAACUGCCUCGAUACUGGAAGACUCGAGUCCGGGAGAGGUGAGUGGAACUGCGAGUGUAGAGGUGAAAUUCGUAGAUAUUCGCAAGAACACCAGUGGCGAAGGCGGCUCACUGGCCCGGUACUGACGCUGAGGUGCGAAAGCGUGGGGAGCAAACAGG